UACGUAGGGUGCAAGCGUUAAUCGGAAUUACUGGGCGUAAAGCGUGCGCAGGCGGUUCGCUAAGACAGAUGUGAAAUCCCCGGGCUUAACCUGGGAACUGCAUUUGUGACUGGCGGGCUAGAGUAUGGCAGAGGGGGGUAGAAUUCCACGUGUAGCAGUGAGAUGCGUAGAGAUGUGGAGGAACACCGGUGGCGAAGGCGGCGAUCUGGGAAGAUACUGACGCUGAGGUGCGAAAGCGUGGGGAGCAAACAGG
RNAcentral lists this ribosomal RNA (253 nucleotides) under uncultured bacterium. Its description in RNAcentral is "partial 16S ribosomal RNA". It matches the Rfam family "Bacterial small subunit ribosomal RNA", at positions 524 to 776 of the family's 1533-position model. The record is from RNAcentral.